Molecule: ribosomal RNA, 408 nt
Filed under: uncultured bacterium
Lineage: Bacteria
Description: partial 16S ribosomal RNA
Rfam family: Bacterial small subunit ribosomal RNA
Source: RNAcentral
GACGAACGCUGGCGGCGUGCCUAAUACAUGCAAGUAGGACGCAGUUGCGAACGGGUGAGUAACGCGUAGGUAACCUACAUAUUAGAGGGGGGUAACUAUUGGAAACGAUAGCUAAUACCGCAUACUAGUAGAUGGACCUGCGUUGUAUUAGCUAGUAGGUAGGGUAAUGGCCUACCUAGGCAACGAUACAUAGCCGACCUGAGAGGUGGAUCGGCCACACUGGGACUGAGACACGGUCCAGACUCCUACGGGAGGCAUCAGUGGGGAAUAUUGCACAAUGGGCGCAAGCCUGAUGCAGCCAUGCCGCGUGUGUGAAGAAGGCCUUCGGGUUGUAAAGCACUUGCAGCGGGGAGGCGUUACCCGCAGAAGAAGCACCGGCUAACUCCGUGCCAGCAGCCGCGGUAAUAC